Molecule: transfer RNA, 69 nt
Filed under: Ictidomys tridecemlineatus (thirteen-lined ground squirrel)
Lineage: Eukaryota; Metazoa; Chordata; Mammalia; Rodentia; Sciuridae
Description: Spermophilus tridecemlineatus (thirteen-lined ground squirrel) tRNA
Rfam family: tRNA
About the family: Transfer RNA (tRNA) molecules are approximately 80 nucleotides in length.
Source: Rfam by way of RNAcentral
GGAAUUGUGGCUCAGUGGUAGAGCGCGCGCCUUGCCCGUGCGAGACCCUUGGUUUGAUCCCCAGCACCA